This is a non-coding RNA of Protopterus annectens (West African lungfish), 74 nucleotides long. The record is from the annotation of a RefSeq genome assembly. NCBI's taxonomy places the organism in Eukaryota, Metazoa, Chordata, Ceratodontiformes, Protopteridae.
GCCAAACUAGCUCAUUUGGAAGAGUGUUAGACUAAAGAUCUAAAGGUUUCCUGGUUCAAUCCCAGGUUUUGGCA